This is a long non-coding RNA of Gopherus flavomarginatus (Mexican gopher tortoise), 805 nucleotides long. RefSeq lists it as uncharacterized. The record is from RefSeq and is a predicted model, not a curated record. The transcript is spliced from 3 exons. NCBI's taxonomy places the organism in Eukaryota, Metazoa, Chordata, Testudines, Testudinidae.
CUACAGAACAUUGAUGUGACUGUACUCUUCACAUUGUUAUUUGCAGUGUUGUUGUCCCAGGAUAUUAGAGAGACAAGGUGCAGAUUUGGAGACUGCUUUAAAACAAAACAACAAAACAAAAGGAGCUCAUCCAAAAUAUUGGGAAUUUUGUUUAGCUGAUGAGAAGGAGUAGGACUAAAAGAUGACCAGACUGGAGCCAAGUUGCAAGAAGAGUCAGACCUCUGUGGGACCAGAGUGAGUGUCAGCAGGGGGCACUGGAAAGGAAAAACUUGCUACACCAACCCUAGCCAUAAGGGGGUGUGCAAGUGGUGAGUGUGGGUCCCAUCCUGCUCCAAAAGACUAUAUCGUUUCCCAAAAAUUACAUGUUGAUCUUUGUUUUCUGGUACUCUGUUGAAAAGGAAGUCUCUUGGUGGACUGGGUGGUUUCAGGAGACCAGUAAGUAAGGUUAAGAUUUUGUCAGUUAUUUUUAGUACAAGUCAAGGAGAGGUUGUAGGCAGUAAACUAAAAUUCAUGGGAUCCUCUGACCUGUCUGGGAACUUUAUGAAAAAUAACCAUGGAGAAAGGGCUGGGGGGAAGGAAUGACAGCUGCAGCCCCAUGGUUGGGGACUGACAGCCUGAGCUCUGUCGUGAGGGUACUGACAGCCCAAGCCCCACUGCUGGACUAGGCUGUCAGCCCUGGGCUGCAGCCACUGACAGCUGCAGCCAAAGAAGUCACAGAGCUCUGGUAAAGUCACAGAAUCUGUGACCUCCGUGACUAAAUCGUAUCCUUAAUGAUAAGGGAAUGUGGAGCCUUUCACCUCUGGGA